This 65-nucleotide non-coding RNA is filed under the name unclassified sequences. The record is from Rfam.
CUGUAAAGACAUGCAGAGCUGUAGAGCCUGUUCUUACAAUAUUAAUGUAAGGCAUGUCGAAGAAA